CCUACGGGUGACAGCAGUGAGGAAUAUUGGUCAAUGGGCGGGAGCCUGAACCAGCCAAGUAGCGUGAGGGAAGACGGUCCUAUGGAUUGUAAACCUCUUUAGUCGGGGAGUAAUGCCGGGCACGCGUGCCCGGAGGGAGAGUACCCGUAGAAUAAGCAUCGGUUACUUCCGUGCAAGCAGCCGCGGUAAUACGGAGGAUGCGAGGUUUACCCGGAUUUCUGGGGUUUAAGGGGUGCGUAGGCGGAUUUUUAAGUCAGCGGUAAAAUGUGCGGGCUAAACCUGAGCCGGCCGUUGAAACUGGGGGUCUUGAGUGGGCGAGAAGUAUGCGGAAUGCGUGGUGUAGCGGUGAAAUGCAUAGAUAUCACGCAGAACUCCGAUUGCGAAGGCAGCAUACCGGCGCCCGACUGACGCUGAUGCACGAAAGCGUGGGGAUCGAACAGGAUUAGAUACCCGUGUAGUC
Molecule: ribosomal RNA, 460 nt
Filed under: uncultured bacterium
Lineage: Bacteria
Description: partial 16S ribosomal RNA
Rfam family: Bacterial small subunit ribosomal RNA
Source: RNAcentral